RNAcentral lists this ribosomal RNA (320 nucleotides) under uncultured eukaryote. RNAcentral's name for it is "partial 18S ribosomal RNA". It matches the Rfam family "Eukaryotic small subunit ribosomal RNA", at positions 1470 to 1796 of the family's 1831-position model. The record is from RNAcentral.
CCCCUAGAUGUUCUGGGCCGCACGCGCGCUACACUGAACAGUUCAACAAGUCUUAACCUUGGCCGAUAGGUCUGGGUAAUCUUUGAACGCUGUUCGUGAUUGGGAUAGACCUUUGCAAUUAUGGGUCUUCAACGAGGAAUUCCUAGUAAACGCAAGUCAUCAGCUUGCAUUGAUUACGUCCCUGCCCUUUGUACACACCGCCCGUCGCACCUACCGAUUGAAUGGUCCGGUGAAAUCUCGGGACGGCGGCUUGGUCGCUUGCGUCCGACUGCUGAAACUUGAUUAAACCAUAUCAUUUAGAGGAAGGCGAAGUCGUAACA